UGGCCACAUCACAUUUAAACACCUGUUCUCGUAUGAUCACUGAAGUUAAGCAAUAUCAAACCUGGUCAGUAUCUAGAUGGGUGACCACUUGGGAAUACCUGGAGUU
Non-coding RNA from Acanthosepion pharaonis, 106 nucleotides. The record is from the annotation of a GenBank genome assembly. Lineage: Eukaryota; Metazoa; Mollusca; Cephalopoda; Sepiida; Sepiidae.